CGCACAUUGCGCCCUUUGGUAUUCCGAGGGGCAUGCCUGUUCGAGCGUCAUUUAAACAAUCAAGCACAGCUUGGUCUUGGACCCGGGCCCCGAGAGGGCGCCCGGCCCAAAACUCACGGAUGGCGUUCCCGUCGAGUCUUAAGCGUAGCAAAAGUUACCACCGCUUCAGAGACUCUGGCGGGAGCAGCCCCGAGAACUACCCCCAAAGUUUGACCUCGGAUCAGGUAGGGAUACCCGCUGAACUUAA
RNAcentral lists this unclassified non-coding RNA (247 nucleotides) under Dothideomycetes sp. Its description in RNAcentral is "partial contains 5.8S ribosomal RNA, internal transcribed spacer 2, and large subunit ribosomal RNA". The record is from RNAcentral. Lineage: Eukaryota; Fungi; Ascomycota; Dothideomycetes.